Molecule: ribosomal RNA, 235 nt
Filed under: uncultured bacterium
Lineage: Bacteria
Description: partial 16S ribosomal RNA
Rfam family: Bacterial small subunit ribosomal RNA
Source: RNAcentral
CCACGGGUGAGUAACACGUAUCCAACCUGCCGUCUACUCUUGGACAGCCUCUGAAAGGAAGAUUAAUACAAGAUGGCAUCAUGAGUCCGCAUGUUCACAUGAUUAAAGGUAUUUUCCGGUAGACGAUGGGGAUGCGUUCCAUUAGAUAGUAGGCGGGGUAACGGCCCACCUAGUCAACGAUGGAUAGGGGUUCUGAGAGGAAGGUCCCCCACAUUGGAACUGAGACACGGUCCAA